This 251-nucleotide ribosomal RNA is filed under the name phenanthrene-metabolizing bacterium DGGE-band-7. Its description in RNAcentral is "partial 16S ribosomal RNA". It matches the Rfam family "Bacterial small subunit ribosomal RNA", at positions 1105 to 1357 of the family's 1533-position model. Lineage: Bacteria; Pseudomonadati; Pseudomonadota; Betaproteobacteria. The record is from RNAcentral.
UUGYCAUUAAUUGCCAUCAUUUAGUUGGGCACUUUAAUGGGACUGCCGGUGACAAACCGGAGGAAGGUGGGGAUGACGUCAAGUCCUCAUGGCCCUUAUGGCCAGGGCUUCACACGUAAUACAAUGGUCGGUACAGAGGGUUGCCAACCCGCGAGGGGGAGCCAAUCCCAGAAAGCCGAUCGUAGUCCGGAUUGUAGUCUGCAACUCGACUACAUGAAGUCGGAAUCGCUAGUAAUCGCGGAUCAGCAUGU